AUUAAAGAACACAUAUCCCCUGAAUCUGUCUGAUCUUGUCUGAUCUUGGGAAGCUAAGCAGGGUCUGGCCUGGUUAGUACUUGGAUCGGAGAACACUUGGUGCAUUCUUAUUA
Molecule: ribosomal RNA, 113 nt
Filed under: Propithecus coquereli (Coquerel's sifaka)
Lineage: Eukaryota; Metazoa; Chordata; Mammalia; Primates; Indriidae
Source: RNAcentral